Molecule: ribosomal RNA, 598 nt
Filed under: uncultured organism
Description: bacterial SSU rRNA
Rfam family: Bacterial small subunit ribosomal RNA
Source: RNAcentral
ACACGUUGGGAUCUACCCCAGACUCAGGGAUAACCGGCCGAAAUGGUGGCUAAUACCGGAUGGGCUCGAAAGAGUAAAGCUUUUGGGGUCUGGGAGGAACCUGCGGGCUAUCAGCUAGUUGGUAAGGUAACGGCUUACCAAGGCGAUGACGGGUAGCUGAUGUGAGAGCAUUGAUCAGCCUCGAUGGGACUGAGACACGGCCCAUACUCCUACGGGAGGCAGCAGUGAAGAAUCUUCCGCCAUGGACGAAAGUCUGACGGAGCAACACCGCGUGGUGGAUGAAGGCCUUCGGGUCGUAAACACCUUUUCUGAGGGAAUAAGUUCUGAAGGUACCUCAGGAAUAAGGCGCUGCUAACUACGUGCCAGCAGCAGCGGUAAUACGUAGGCGCCAAGCGUUAUCCGGAAUUAUUGGGCGUAAAGCGUCUGUCGGCGGCAAUGCAAGUCUGGUGUGACAUUUCAAUGCUUAACAUUGAAUGCGUAUCGGAAACUGUAUUGCUAGAGUCUACAAAGAGCCACUGGAAUUUCCGUUGUAGGGGUCAAAUCCGGAGAUAACGGAAGGAACACCAAAAGCGAAAGCCGGUGGCUGGCUUAGUACUGA